RNAcentral lists this transfer RNA (72 nucleotides) under Aeromonas hydrophila. It matches the Rfam family "tRNA". Rfam says of the family: Transfer RNA (tRNA) molecules are approximately 80 nucleotides in length. Their secondary structure includes four short double-helical elements and three loops (D, anti-codon, and T loops). Further hydrogen bonds mediate the characteristic L-shaped molecular structure. tRNAs have two regions of fundamental functional importance: the anti-codon, which is responsible for specific mRNA codon recognition, and the 3' end, to which the tRNAs corresponding amino acid is attached (by aminoacyl-tRNA synthetases). tRNAs cope with the degeneracy of the genetic code in two manners: having more than one tRNA (with a specific anti-codon) for a particular amino acid; and 'wobble' base-pairing, i.e. permitting non-standard base-pairing at the 3rd anti-codon position. Lineage: Bacteria; Pseudomonadati; Pseudomonadota; Gammaproteobacteria; Aeromonadales; Aeromonadaceae. The record is from RNAcentral. RNAcentral also lists the same sequence under 6 other names.
GCUAUGUAGCUCAGUUGGUUAGAGCAUCGCACUCAUAAUGCGGGGGUCACAGGUUCGAAUCCCGUCAUAGCC